Molecule: long non-coding RNA, 5743 nt
Filed under: Cicer arietinum (chickpea)
Lineage: Eukaryota; Viridiplantae; Streptophyta; Magnoliopsida; Fabales; Fabaceae
Description: long non-coding RNA (CARI_LNC002815)
Source: RNAcentral
CUAAACUCUAAACCCUAAACCCUAAACCCUAAACCCUAAACCCUAAACCUUAAACCCUAAACACUAAAAUCUAGUAAGACUUAUGCACUUAUUCGACAAACUACAUUGAUUCAGAAACAAAAUGGACUAGAUAUGACCUAGACCCGUAACCCUUAACCCUUAACCAUAAUACUGAACCGCAAAACACUAAAGCCUAAACCCUAAACCCUAAACCGUAAACCUUAAACCUUAAAACCCAAAACCUAAAACCAAAACCCUAAUUCUUAAACCUAGUAAAGACCAAAAUGACAUAAAAUAUUAAUGCAUUUUGACUUUUGUUCUUAUUGCACGAACUACAAUGAACAGACCUAGAAUACACCUAGUAAAUAACAAAUGACCUAAAAUCUAUAUCCAUUGAGAAUUUUGCUUUUAUUUCAUGAACUACAUUGAUUAAGAACAAAAAUGGACUAGAUAUGACCUAGACCCUUAACCAUAAACCCGUAACGCAAAACCCUAAACCCUAAACCCUAAACCCUAAACCCUAAACCUAAACCCAAAACCAUAAACCAUAAACCAUAAACCCCAAACCCUAAACCAUAAACCAUAAACCAUAAACCAUAAACCCUAUACCCUAAACCCUAAACCCUAAACCCUAAACACUAAACCGUAAACCCUAAACCCUAAACCCUAAACCCUAAACCCUAAACCCUAAACCCUAAACCUAAACCCAAAACCAUAAACCAUAAACCAUAAACCAUAAACCAUAAACCAUAAACCAUAAACCAUAAACCCUAUACCCUAAACCCUAAACCCUAAACCCUAAACCUAAACCCAAAACCAUAAACCAUAAACCAUAAACCAUAAACCAUAAACCAUAAACCAUAAACCAUAAACCAUAAACCAUAAACCAUAAACCAUAAACCAUAAACCAUAAACCAUAAACCAUAAACCAUAAACCAUAAACCAUAAACCAUAAACCAUAAACCAUAAACCAUAAACCAUAAACCAUAAACCAUAAACCAUAAACCAUAAACCAUAAACCAUAAACCAUAAACCAUAAACCAUAAACCAUAAACCCUAUACCCUAAACCCUAAACCCUAAACCCUAAACACUAAACCGUAAACCCUAAACCCUAAACACUAAAAUCAAACAAAAUGGACUAGAUAUGACGUAGACCCUUAACACUAAACCAUAAACCCGAACCGCAAAACACUAAAGCCUAAACCAUAAACCCUAAACCCUAAACCUAAAACCUAAAACCUAAAACCUAAUCCCUUAACCUAGUAAAGACCAAAUUAACUUAAAAUAUUCAUUAAUUGAGAUUUUUGUACUUAUUGGACAAACUACAUAUAUAAGAACUUAAAUUGAUAGAAAGAAACAUAACAAAAACAAUAAUGACCUAAAAUUAUGCACUUAUUCGACGAACAACAUUGAUUAAGAAACAAAAUGGACUAGAUAUGACCUAGACCCUUAACCCUAAACCAUAAAACCAAACCGCAAAACCCUAAAGCCUAAACUCUAAACCCUAAACCCUAAACCCUAACCCUAAACCCUAAACCUUAAACCCUAAACACUAAAAUCUAGUAAGACUUGUGCACUUAUUCGACAAACUACAUUGAUUCAGAAACAAAAUGGACUAGAUAUGACCUAGACCCUUAACCCUUAACCCUUAACCCUUAACCCUUAACCCUUAACCAUAAUACUGAACCGCAAAACACUAAAGCCUAAACCUUAAACCCUAAACCGUAAACCUUAAACCUUAAAACCCAAAACCUAAAACCAAAACCCUAAUUCUUAAACCUAGUAAAGACCAAAAUGACCUAAAAUAUUAAUGCAUUUUGUCUUUUGUUCUUAUUGCACGAACUACAAUGAAUAGACCUAGAAUACACCUAGUAAAUAACAAAUGACCUAAAAUCUAUAUCCAUUGAGAAUUUUGCUUUUAGUUCAUGAACUACAUUGAUUAAGAACAAAAAUGGACUAGAUAUGACCUAGACCUUUAACCAUAAACCCGUAACGCAAAACCCUAAACCCUAAACCCUAAACCCUAAACCCUAAACCUAAACCCAAAACCAUAAACCAUAAACCAUAAACCCCAAACCCUAAACCACAAACCAUAAACCAUAAACCCUAUACCCUAAACCCUAAACCCUAAACCCUAAACACUAAACCGUAAACCCUAAACACUAAAAUCAAACAAAAUGGACUAGAUAUGACGUAGACCCUUAACACUAAACCAUAAACCCGAACCGCAAAACACUAAAGCCUAAACCAUAAACCCUAAACCCUAAACCUAAAACCUAAAACCUAAAACCUAAAACCUAAAACCUAAAACCUAAAACCUAAAACCUAAAACCUAAAACCUAAAACCUAAAACCUAAAACCUAAAACCUAAAACCAAAAACCUAAAACCUAAAACCUAAAACCUAAAACCUAAAACCUAAAACCUAAAACCUAAAACCUAAAACCUAAAACCUAAAACCUAAAACCUAAAACCUAAAACCUAAAACCUAAAACCUAAAACCUAAAACCUAAAACCUAAAACCUAAAACCUAAAACCUAAAACCUAAAACCUAAAACCUAAAACCUAAAACCUAAAACCUAAAACCUAAAACCUAAAACCUAAAACCUAAAACCUAAAACCUAAAACCUAAAACCUAAAACCUAAAACCUAAAACCUAAAACAUAAAACCUAAAACCUAAAACCUAAAACCUAAAACCUAAAACCAAAAACCUAAAACCUAAAACCUAAAACCAAAAACCUAAAACCUAAAACCUAAAACCAAAAACCUAAAACCUAAAACCUAAAACCAAAAACCUAAAACCUAAAACCUAAAACCAAAAACCUAAAACCUAAAACCUAAAACCAAAAACCUAAAACCUAAAACCUAAAACCAAAAACCUAAAACCUAAAACCUAAAACCAAAAAAGUAAAACCUAAAACGUAAAACCUAAAACCUAAAACCUAAAACAUAAAACCUAAAACCUAAAACCUAAAACAUAAAACCUAAAACCAAAAACCAUAACAAAUUCCACAAUGACCUAAAAUUUUAAUAUGUGGAAUCUUUUGCACUUAUUACACAAACUACAUUGUUUUAGAAACAAAAUGGACUAGAUUCCACCUAGUAAAAAACAAAAUGAACUAAAAUCUAUAUCGAUUAAGAAUUAUGCUUUUAAUUAUUUCAUGAAAUACAUUGGUUAAAACCAAAACGGACUACAAUAGACUUAGGCCCUUAAACCAUAAAACAUAAACCCUAAACCCUAAUCCCUUAACCUAGUAAAGACCAAAAUAACCUAAAAUAUUAAUUUAUUGAGACUUUUGUACUUAUUGGACAAACUACAUAUAUAAGAAAUAAAAUUGACAGAAAGAAACAUAACAAAAACCAAAAGGACGUAAAAUCAAAAUCUAGUAACACGUAUGCACGUAUGCGACGAACUACAUUGAUUAAGAAACAAAAUGGACUAGAUAUCCUUUAACCCUAAAACAUAAACCCGAACCGCAAAACACUAAAGCCUAAACCCUAAACCCUAAUACCCUAAUACCCUAAACCCUAAACCCUAAACCCUAAACCCUAAACCCUAAACCCUAAACCCUAAACCUAAACCCAAAACCAUAAACCAUAAACCAUAAACCAUAAACCAUAAACCAUAAACCAUAAACCAUAAACCAUAAACCAUAAACCAUAAACCAUAAACCAUAAACCAUAAACCAUAAACCAUAAACCAUAAACCAUAAACCAUAAACCAUAAACCAUAAACCCUAAAACAUAAACCCUAAACCCUAAUCCGUAAACCCUAAACUCUAAACACUAAAACAAAACACCUAAGACCAAAAUGACCUUAAUCUUAAACCCUAAAUCCCAUACCCCAAACCCUAAAAUGAAUAAGAACUAAAAUGGAAAAAAAGAAACAUAUCAAAAACUAAAACGUCCUAAAUCUAAAUCAAGUGACACUUUUGCACUAAUAGGAUCACCUACAUUGAUUAACAACUAAAAUGGACAACAACAAAAAUAAUUGACAGAACGAACCAUAACAACAACAAAAAAUUACCUAAAAUCAAAAUCUAGUAACACUUAUGCACUUAUUCGAAGAACUACAUUGAUUCAGAAACAAAAUGGACUAGAUAUGACCUUGACCCUUAACCCUUAACCAUAAACCUGAACCGCAAAACACUAAAGCCUAAACCCUAAACCGUAAACCCUAAACACUAAAACCUAAAACCUAAACCCUAAUUCUUAAACCAAGUAAAGACCAAAAUCACCUAAAAUAUUAAUGCAUUUUGACUUUUGUUCUUAUUGGACGAACAAUAAUGAAUAGACCUAGAAUACACCUUGUAAAUAACAAAAUGAUCUAAAAUCUAUAUCCAUUGAGAAUUUUGUUUUAUUAAAACCCUAACCCCUAAACCCUAAACCCUAAACCCUAACCCCUAAACCCUAAACCCUAAACCCUAACCCCUAAACCCUAAACCCUAAACCCUAACCCCUAAACCCUAAACCCUAAACCCUAACCCCUAAACCCUAAACCCUAAACCCUAACCCCUAAACCCUAAACCCUAAACCCUAACCCCUAAACCCUAAACCCUAAACCCUAACCCCUAAACCCUAAACCCUAAACCCUAACCCCUAAACCCUAAACCCUAAACCCUAACCCCUAAACCCUAAACCCUAAACCCUAACCCCUAAACCCUAAACCCUAAACCCUAACCCCUAAACCCUAAACCCUAAACCCUAACCCCUAAACCCUAAACCCUAAACCCUAACCCCUAAACCCUAAACCCUAAACCCUAACCCCUAAACCCUAAACCCUAAACCCUAACCCCUAAACCCUAAACCCUAAACCCUAACCCCUAAACCCUAAACCCUAAACCCUAACCCCUAAACCCUAAACCCUAAACCCUAACCCCUAAACCCUAAACCCUAAACCCUAACCCCUAAACCCUAAACCCUAAACCCUAACCCCUAAACCCUAAACCCUAAACCCUAACCCCUAAACCCUAAACCCUAAACCCUAACCCCUAAACCCUAAACCCUAAACCCUAACCCCUAAACCCUAAACCCUAAACCCUAACCCCUAAACCCUAAACCCUAAACCCUAACCCCUAAACCCUAAACCCUAAACCCUAACCCCUAAACCCUAAACCCUAAACCCUAACCCCUAAACCCUAAACCCUAAACCCUAACCCCUAAACCCUAAACCCUAAACCCUAACCCCUAAACCCUAAACCCUAAACCCUAACCCCUAAACCCUAAACCCUAAACCCUAACCCCUAAACCCUAAACCCUAAACCCUAACCCCUAAACCCUAAACCCUAAACCCUAACCCCUAAACCCUAAACCCUAAACCCUAACCCCUAAACCCUAAACCCUAAACCCUAACCCCUAAACCCUAAACCCUAAACCCUAAACCCUAAACCCUAAACCCUAAACCCUAAACCCUAAACCCUAACCCCUAAACCCUAAACCCUAAACCCUAACCCCUAAACCCUAAACCCUAAACCCUACACCCUAAACCCUAAACCCUAAACCCUACACCCUAAACCCUAAACCCUAAACCCUACACCCUAAACCCUAAACCCUAAACCCUAAACCCUAAACCCUAAACCCUAAACCCUAAACCCUAAACCCUAAACCCUAAACCCUAAACCCUAAACCCUAAACCCUAAACCCUAAACCCUAAACCCUAAACCCUAAACCCUAAACCCUAAACCCUAAACCCUAAACCCUAAACCCUAAACCCUACACCCUAAACCCUAAACCCUAAACCCUA